CGGCCCGUCCCCGGAGCCAGUCAGCUAGGUCUCCGUCGGAUCAUUCUUCGGUACCGGUCAAUCACGUCCCCGUUCCGGUGUCUCCCUACAGAGCCCUUGCGAGGCCCUUAACAUAGGACACAACUUUCGCGGUCUCAAGCCGGAUUUCCUCCGAACUUGUUCGUACAUACCCGGCGGCAUUGCUUGGACAGUGCUUUGACAACGUACUCCCAGACUGUUGACUUCCUGACCCUUCCUGACCCGUCUUCAGCUUAGAGAGGCGAACAUCCGGUCAACACCGAUCAACUAGCCGAACCUUUCUUCAGUGACCGAACUCAACUCCACGCCCCGGCCAGAAAUGUUCCAGUCAACAUGACGACGACCUUGGACUGUUUCAAAAGAAACAUGGACUGGUUCGACUGACAUGGACUUGCAAAAUGGAGACAAAUGGCCGGAUGCUGAGGAUUCGAGUAACUAAUCGCCUAUGAGAUUAUGUAUGAAUUUCUCCUCAGGUGAGUAUGCCCGUUGUGCUGCUCUGGUUUAAGUCGACUUAGUUAUGUUUAGUUAAGUUAAGUGAAAGGUUAUGUUGAACGGGAAGACAACGACCUUAGUGAUCGGACAGGAAAUUUGAUGGGAUUUAUCCGUGGAUUCUUGUGUCUAGCUCCCAGUCAUUUGCUCUGCAUACGUCCCCAGACUUGCGUCCUUGUCUAAAACUUCUGUGAUGCCCACUCAACAGUCCUGUCAUUUAUGUUGUUAUGGUUUAUAACAUUGCGUGCGUGUGUGUGUGUGUGUGUGUUCUCCCUCGAUCCAUUUACAGGCCGACCAUACUUAACAAGAGCAAUGAUGACGAUGUCCACUUGGACUCCACAACACCGCCACGCCACACACUGUGACUCAUCUUUCUUUAUUUGUGAUAUCUCAACAUCAGCUCCUACAACAUAUCUUUAAUAGCUGUGACGAGCACCCAAAUAAACGUACAACGACGAUGACAAAGUUAUGGGUGACUUUGGAAUAAACCAUUAGUGUCAGUAUCAGUAUAUUCGUAUAGUAUAUGAAACGGGCGAUGUCAUUUUUGUGUUCUCUCUCGAUCCCAACAGA
Molecule: long non-coding RNA, 1077 nt
Organism: Branchiostoma floridae (Florida lancelet)
Lineage: Eukaryota; Metazoa; Chordata; Leptocardii; Amphioxiformes; Branchiostomatidae
Exons: 2
Source: RefSeq, a predicted model, not a curated record